This 298-nucleotide long non-coding RNA is filed under the name Homo sapiens (human). RNAcentral describes it as "HSALNT0300995". Lineage: Eukaryota; Metazoa; Chordata; Mammalia; Primates; Hominidae. The record is from RNAcentral.
ACUGAGAUUCAGUGAGACAAGGACAUUUGUUCAAAUAAAUCUCGUAACUCUGAAGAGGCCUGGAUCUGAGAAGAAUGGGUGCCAGGUAGUCUGACUGGGCUAGUUUUGCCCCAUCAUGGCCCUGUGACAUCCGUUCUGCCUCCCAGCUAGACUGGACUCCCCCAGACCAGGAACUGUGUCCUGGCUCUUCCUAGCACCCAGCUCAGGGAGGGCUAUCAAGGCUGCUGAAAGCAGGUCAAAUGAAGUCAGACAGCAAAGGUGAUUGAAUUUUCAAUCUUGAAAAUACAUCAUGGAACCU